UACGGAGGGUGCAAGCGUUAAUCGGAAUUACUGGGCGUAAAGGGUGCGUAGGUGGUUUAUUAAGUUAUCUGUGAAAUCCCUGGGCUUAACCUGGGCAGGUCAGAUAAAACUGAUAGACUCGAGUAUGGGAGAGGGUAGUGGAAUUUCCGGUGUAGCGGUGAAAUGCGUAGAGAUCGGAAGGAACACCAGUGGCGAAGGCGGCUACCUGGCCCAAUACUGACACUGAGGCACGAAAGCGUGGGGAGCAAACAGG
Molecule: ribosomal RNA, 253 nt
Filed under: uncultured bacterium
Lineage: Bacteria
Description: partial 16S ribosomal RNA
Rfam family: Bacterial small subunit ribosomal RNA
Source: RNAcentral